GACGAACGCUGGCGGCGUGCUUAACACAUGCAAGUCGAACGCUGAAGCACCAGCUUGCUGGUGUGGAUGAGUGGCGAACGGGUGAGUAAUACGUGAGUAACCUGCCCUUGACUCUGGGAUAAGCCCGGGAAACUGGGUCUAAUACUGGAUGCUACAUGUCACCGCAUGGUGGUGUGUGGAAAGGGUUUACUGGUCUUGGAUGGGCUCACGGCCUAUCAGCUUGUUGGUGAGGUAAUGGCUCACCAAGGCGACGACGGGUAGCCGGCCUGAGAGGGUGACCGGCCACACUGGGACUGAGACACGGCCCAGACUCCUACGGGAGGCAGCAGGGGGGAAUAUUGCACAAUGGGCGAAAGCCUGAUGCAGCGACGCCGCGUGAGGGAUGACGGCCUUCGGGUUGGAAACCUCUUUCAGCAGGGAAGAAGCCACAAGUGACGGUACCUGCAGAAGAAGCGCCGGCUAACUACGUG
Molecule: ribosomal RNA, 470 nt
Filed under: uncultured bacterium
Lineage: Bacteria
Description: partial 16S ribosomal RNA
Rfam family: Bacterial small subunit ribosomal RNA
Source: RNAcentral